This 3461-nucleotide long non-coding RNA is filed under the name Oryctolagus cuniculus (rabbit). RNAcentral describes it as "lncRNA (ENSOCUG00000030141.1)". Lineage: Eukaryota; Metazoa; Chordata; Mammalia; Lagomorpha; Leporidae. The record is from RNAcentral.
UUUUUAAAUAAAAAUGUUUAUUUAUUUAAAAGAGUUAGAGAGAGAGAGGGAGAGAUCUUCCAUAAGCAGGUUCUCUCCCCAGGUGGCCAUAGUGGCCAGUGCUGGGCCAGGCCAAGCCAGGGGCCAGGAGUUUCAUCUGAAGUUCUCCCUCGUGAGUGGCAUGGGCCUAAGCACCUGGGCCAUCGCCAUGGCUUUUCCCAGGCCACUGCAAGGAGCUGGAUCAGAAACUGAGCAACUGGGACACCAACCGGUGCCCAUAUGGGAUGCUGGUGUUGCAGGCAGCGGCUUUAACCACUAUGCCACAAUGCCGGCCCCAUGAAUAUCUCCUGUGGGAUGUGAUUGAGCAUAGGACGUCCUGCAUUUAUAAAUUAACUCGGACUGGAAGUAAGUCGGGGAAAGCGGUAUGCUAGAGGUGGGCAAACUCGGGCCUGCUAAGCCACCGACCUGGCCUGGAUGGGCGGCCCAAGACAGAGCACGGGGAGCUGACCAAUGAGAAAGACACUGCACACCCUGGCGCGCACUGCAAUCUCGCGUUGUUUGGGGAGGUCCUUCCACCCCCCUGACCCCCCGUGGUAACGCAUGCGCUGAGACCUCGCUGUUCUGGGCGCAUGCCCCCAGCAGGCCCUUUUCCGGCAGCGAUUGUGAGCAAGUUGGUCGCGUCCGCUCCUCCGGGUCUGUCCAGACUUGCAACAUGAGCUGCUACAGUAAGGCGUCUGGUUUUAGCGACGGUAAUGGCUCCAGUAGUGAGGAGCAGGCCAGCCCUGGUAGCCCCGGAGCCCUGCAGGCUACUGGAAUAGGCUUGGACCAGGGUGAGGGCGAGGGCGGAGGUGCGAGCUGGGAGGAGGGCGGGCCCUCAAGCCCGCAGGUUCUCAACCCGCAGCUGGAGUUCAAGUCUGGGUGCCAGUCUGAGUCCAAACUGGGAAUGACACAGGCGGAAGCCGCAGCUCUCUGGGGCUGCAAGACUAAGCCACGGAAGCCCACCCCCGUGGGAGAGUGCUCUGCAAGUUCCGCAUUCCAGUUUGCUGCGGCGUAUGCAGCUGUUGUGCAAAUGCUGACCGACCCCAGUGCCGGGGCCUUGCACAGAUUCCUGAGUACAGGAAGUGGCGCCGCCGAAGAAGCGGCCGCCGUUUGUGCGCAUGUCGAGGUAGACCCCAGCAGCCGAGGCAUGCUGGGCCGGAGCAGUCUGGGAUCACUGCAGGCUUGUGCCACCGCCUCUCGUGCUCUUGGGGAAUUCCGGGUCCGGGGCCGCAGCAAGAGAAGAAGCGCCAGACGUCGCUUGAACAUUGGCACCGAUAGCCAUUGCUGCUUCGGAGAAGGCAUGGUGGGGCUGCCUCCUGACCCUGAGCCCUGCGAUGAGCUCUGGAAUGUGCAGCCCAUGAGGGUUCCAGCACAGAGAUCAGGGAUGCCUUGCUGUUGCAUGCAUCAUGGAGAAUUCAAAAGUCUAUACUUCAAUACCGAAAACUCACAAGUUCCAGAAAAUUCACAGCCUUUGAGUCUGAGCCAGGGAGGUGUCACACCUAGAGGCGCUGCACACUGGGGUGAGUCCAGUGGGUUUGAUUUGAGUGGAGGGGAGAGGGGUCAAGGAGGGAAACCUCUGGAUAUUGUCACUUUUGGGGACUCAGCUUCGCUCCCAGGAUUCCCUGCCUGCCCAGGCAGCUUGCUCACAGGAAAUGGGGUGUCAGCAGGUCUGGCCUUAGGUGACAUCAUCCUGUGAGUGUUGGCUCAUGAGGUGGCGGUUGUUUGUGGCAGUGCCCCAAGCUCCAAAAACAAAGGCAGGUGAUCAGUGGAACUGAGCUUUUGCUGUUAAGUCCUGCACAGCCAGGUGGCUCCUCCCUGCAGCUCUCUUAUCGUGCGACACAGAUUCCAGUCCCUGGCGCCACAGUCAGUGAGGGGUCAGGAAGGCAGGCUCAGAGAGAGGGUUGGAGCCCCUGGGCAGAACAGGGGUAACUUAGGGCCAGCAGAGGAUGAGACCUCCUCUUGUGGGACCCCAGCAGGCUCUUUCCACCUCAUUCCCAGGCUGGGCAGCUGGAUUUUGUGUUCUUUUUGUGUUUCAGGUGCCCCGGAACCACCUGUUCAUCCUCAGACACCAGAUAUGAAGAAAUUGCCACCUGGAAUGCAAAGGUGUCUUCAGGUAAUACCGCCUCUGGCUCGCAGUUACAUGGGCCCAAAGUAGCUGGUGGGAUCCAUGUGCAGGUCAGACUGACCCCAUGUCCCCUGCUCAUCAUUUUACACCUGAUGCAGACAGGAUACCUCCUUUGCAAUUAGCAUGCCAAGCCAAUGUGGCCACUGGGCUGUGGGAGGGUCCAGGUGUAAGGGCCAGGGAUGUGGAUGGGGCGGGGGGAAGUCCAUAAUACACUCAUCGUUUCUCUCUGUUGGGCUGCUAUAUUUUGCUGCAGAAGGAAGUAGACGACCUUAGAGAGCAACCAGGUAUGGUACAUGCUGGGCUGGGCUGGGCUGGGACUGGGGCUGAGGCAGAAGAAGGAAUCUUCAUGCUGGUGGCAGGGCGUGGGGUGAGGGUGGGUUGCAGGUGUGGGCGGCAUCAGUGGGACCCUCAUUCCUGUGAGGAGGAGAACCAACAAAACCUGGCCCGGGAGCAUUGUGUGCAUUCACAGUUGGGGUGUGCACAAGGGGAAAUGCGUCGUCUAAGCUGCAUGUGCGCUUUGCUAAAGAGUCCCAGAGAUCUCCUUCAUUUAGAGCUACCUGCAUGUGUUUUCGCUGGAAGUGCUGCUUGCUGUGGCUUGUGUGGUUUCUCUUGUCCGAUUUAUUUGCCUUUUGACAUGUUCUGAAUGGUUCUCAUUGACCCAACGUUUGAGAAUGACUGGUCCACUUUGUUCCUGUUUAGAAGACAUUUCCACAUGUAACUCAGGUGAUGGGUGGGUGGUGUGUCCCAGGGCUGUUUGGAGGGGGCUGCAGGGGUUGCAGGGGGCAGGGCUAGGUGAUCCCUUCCCCCCUCCCUGGGGGACACAGGUCCAGAUGUCUAUAGGCCUAUUUCUGGAGUGCCUUGUUGUGUCUUUGUUUCAGCGGAGUUGGAAUCCCUCACUGAGAAGUUCCAGAGGCUGUGAAGUGAGUGUUACACACAGCAUGCCCCUUGCCACAAUCCUGGCAGUUCAGGAGGGAUGCAGGCUGGCCCUGGCUUGAACGUGACCUUGCUCUGACUCUGCCCUCUUUCACAGGUUGAACUCAGCAUCUUCUAUUAGACAAGUAGCUACUACCUGUGGAGCCCAGGAGCUAUGGCCCAGGCGUUUCCCUCCAGUUCCUCUUCAGCCAGAGCCUCCUGUCUGCCCAAACACUUGUCUCCUUCCCUACCCCAGUUCACAGCAGUUUCAAGUUAGAGUAGCUUUCAUGUUCCGUGCUCUGCUGUCUCUGGGCGAGGGCGGUUGAAGAACUGCUCCGUGUCAGAGCAUGUUAGGAACAGUUCCUCUGUUUAGGUUGUGCUACAAUAAACACAUGUUUGAAUGGCA